GACAUCCAGAGAACUUAGCAGAGAUGCUUUGGUGCCUUCGGGAACUCUGAGACAGGUGCUGCAUGGCUGUCGUCAGCUCGUGUUGUGAAAUGUUGGGUUAAGUCCCGNAACGAGCGCAACCCUUAUCCUUUGUUGCCAGCGGUUCGGCCGGGAACUCAAAGGAGACUGCCGGUGAUAAACCGGAGGAAGGUGGGGAUGACGUCAAGUCAUCAUGGCCCUUACGGCCAGGGCUACACACGUGCUACAAUGGCGCAUACAAAGAGAAGCGACCUCGCGAGAGCAAGCGGACCUCAUAAAGUGCGUCGUAGUCCGGAUUGGAGUCUGCAACUCGACUCCAUGAAGUCGGAAUCGCUAGUAAUCGUAGAUCAGAAUGCUACGGUGAAUACGUUCCCGGGCCUUGUACACACCGCCCGUCACACCAUGGGAGUGGGUUGCAAAAGAAGUAGGUAGCUUAACCUUCGGGAGGGCGCUUACCACUUUGUGAUUCAUGACUGGGUGAAGUCGUAACAAGGUAAGCGUAGCGAG
RNAcentral lists this ribosomal RNA (525 nucleotides) under uncultured bacterium. Its description in RNAcentral is "bacterial SSU rRNA". It matches the Rfam family "Bacterial small subunit ribosomal RNA", at positions 983 to 1509 of the family's 1533-position model. The record is from RNAcentral.